RNAcentral lists this ribosomal RNA (425 nucleotides) under Pseudarthrobacter chlorophenolicus. RNAcentral describes it as "partial 16S ribosomal RNA". The stretch from base 1 to 382 matches the Rfam family "Bacterial small subunit ribosomal RNA", at positions 958 to 1335 of the family's 1533-position model. The record is from RNAcentral. Lineage: Bacteria; Bacillati; Actinomycetota; Actinomycetes; Micrococcales; Micrococcaceae.
AACGCGAAGAACCUUACCAAGGCUUGACAUGAACCGGAAACGCCUGGAAACAGGUGCCCCACUUGUGGUCGGUUUACCAGGUGGUGCAUGGUUGUCGUCAGCUCGUGUCGUGAGAUGUUGGGUUAAGUCCCGCAAUCGAGCGCAACCCUCGUUCUAUGUUGCCAGCACGUGAUGGUGGGGACUCAUAGGAGACUGGCCGGGGUCNACUCGGAGGAAGGUGGGGACGACGUCAAAUCAUCAUGCCCCUUAUGUCUUGGGCUUCACGCAUGCUACAAUGGCCGGUACAAAGGGUUGCGAUACCUGUGAGGUGGAGCUAAUCCCAAAAAGCCGGUNUCAGUUCGGAUUGGGGUCUGCAACUCGACCGCCAUGAAGUCNGAGUNNCUAGUUAUGGUNGAUNAAAAACNNNNACCCCUUAACUNNGNCNU